AAUAUUGGACAAUGGGCGAAAGCCUGAUCCAGCCAUGCCGCGUGUGUGAAGAAGGUCGUCGGAUUGUAAAGCACUUUCAGUUGGGAGGGAGGGGUUGAAGCUAAUACCUUCAAUCUUUGACGUUACCAACAGAAUAAGCACCGGCUAACUCCGUGCCAGCAGCCGCGGUAAUACAGAGGGUGCGAGCGUUAAUCGGAAUUACUGGGCGUAAAGGGCGCGUAGGUGGGUCAGUAAGAUCGGUGUGAAAUCCCCGGGCUUAACCUGGGAACUGCUUUCAUAACUGCUGAGCUAGAGUACGGUAGAAGGUAGUGGAAUUUCCUGUGUAGCGGUGAAAUGCGUAGAUAUAGGAAGGAACACCAGUGGCGAAGGCGACUACCUGGACUGAUACUGACACUGAGGUGCGAAAGCGUGGGGAGCAAACA
RNAcentral lists this ribosomal RNA (422 nucleotides) under uncultured bacterium. RNAcentral describes it as "partial 16S ribosomal RNA". It matches the Rfam family "Bacterial small subunit ribosomal RNA", at positions 360 to 774 of the family's 1533-position model. The record is from RNAcentral.